CCUACGGGAGGCAGCAGUAGGGAAUAUUGCUCAAUGGGGGAAACCCUGAAGCAGCAACGCCGCGUGGAGGAUGAAGGUUUUCGGAUUUUAAACUCCUUUUGUUAGAGAAGAUAAUGACGGUAUCUAACGAAUAAGCACCGUCUAACUCCGUGCCAGCAGCCGCGGUAAUACGGAGGGUGCAAGCGUUACUCGGAAUCACUGGGCGUAAAGAGCGCGUAGGCGGGAUAGCAAGUCAGAUGUGAAAUCCUAUGGCUUAACCAUAGAACUGCAUUUGAAACUGUUAUUCUAGAGUAUGGGAGAGGUAGGUGGAAUUCUUGGUGUAGGGGUAAAAUCCGUAGAGAUCAAGAGGAAUACUCAUUGCGAAGGCGACCUGCUAGAACAUAACUGACGCUGAUGCGCGAAAGCGUGGGGAGCAAACAGGAUUAGAUACCCCGGUAGUC
This 440-nucleotide ribosomal RNA is filed under the name uncultured bacterium. Its description in RNAcentral is "partial 16S ribosomal RNA". It matches the Rfam family "Bacterial small subunit ribosomal RNA", at positions 338 to 795 of the family's 1533-position model. The record is from RNAcentral.